RNAcentral lists this transfer RNA (70 nucleotides) under Dipodomys ordii (Ord's kangaroo rat). It matches the Rfam family "tRNA". From Rfam's summary of the family: Transfer RNA (tRNA) molecules are approximately 80 nucleotides in length. Their secondary structure includes four short double-helical elements and three loops (D, anti-codon, and T loops). Further hydrogen bonds mediate the characteristic L-shaped molecular structure. tRNAs have two regions of fundamental functional importance: the anti-codon, which is responsible for specific mRNA codon recognition, and the 3' end, to which the tRNAs corresponding amino acid is attached (by aminoacyl-tRNA synthetases). tRNAs cope with the degeneracy of the genetic code in two manners: having more than one tRNA (with a specific anti-codon) for a particular amino acid; and 'wobble' base-pairing, i.e. permitting non-standard base-pairing at the 3rd anti-codon position. Lineage: Eukaryota; Metazoa; Chordata; Mammalia; Rodentia; Heteromyidae. The record is from Rfam by way of RNAcentral.
GGGAAUGUGGCUUAGUGGUAGAGCGCUUGCUUAGCAUGCAUGAAGCCCUGGGUUCGAUACCUCAGUACCA